UGUGUGUCUGUCCCAAAUCAGGAACGCCAAUCGAGUGAAUAGUGUAUGUUUUUUUCUUUCUAUUUUGGUUAAUUUGUAUGCUUCAGAGUGAAGCGUUGGGUUUAGUUUACUCAAGUAGUAAAUAGUUUUGUUUGGUCGCCAGCUAAAGCCAACUUCUGGGUGCGAGAUAGUUUGGUAUUGCGCGUUGAAGACCAAUUGGUGGCCAUAUGCAGUUUUCUGCUCUUUGACACA
This 231-nucleotide long non-coding RNA is filed under the name Mytilus galloprovincialis (Mediterranean mussel). Lineage: Eukaryota; Metazoa; Mollusca; Bivalvia; Mytilida; Mytilidae. The record is from RNAcentral.